Molecule: ribosomal RNA, 703 nt
Filed under: Gigaspora margarita
Lineage: Eukaryota; Fungi; Glomeromycota; Glomeromycetes; Diversisporales; Gigasporaceae
Description: SSU rRNA
Rfam family: Eukaryotic small subunit ribosomal RNA
Source: RNAcentral
CCGGAGAGGGAGCCUGAGAAACGGCUACCACAUCCAAGGAAGGCAGCAGGCGCGCAAAUUACCCAAUCCCGAUACGGGGAGGUAGUGACAAUAAAUAACAAUACAGGGCUCUUAUGGGUCUUGUAAUUGGAAUGAGUACAAUUUAAAUCCCUUAACGAGGAACAAUUGGAGGGCAAGUCUGGUGCCAGCAGCCGCGGUAAUUCCAGCUCCAAUAGCGUAUAUUAAAGUUGUUGCAGUUAAAAAGCUCGUAGUUGAAUUUCGGGGUUCUACCGUUGGUCGGGCAAUAGUCUGUACUGGCGUGUGGAAUUUCUACCUUCUGGGGAACCAUCAUGUUAUUUAUUUAGCGUGGUGGGAAACCAGGACCUUUACCUUGAAAAAAUUAGAGUGUUCAAAGCAGGCUUACGUCUGAAUACAUUAGCAUGGAAUAAUAAAAUAGGACGGUGGUCCUGUUUUGUUGGUUUCUGAAUCACCGUAAUGAUUAAUAGGGAUAGUUGGGGGCAUUAGUAUUCAAUUGUCAGAGGUGAAAUUCUUGGAUUUAUUGAAGACUAACUUCUGCGAAAGCAUUUGCCAAGGAUGUUUUCAUUAAUCAAGAACGAAAGUUAGGGGAUCGAAGACGAUCAGAUACCGUCGUAGUCUUAACCAUAAACUAUGCCGACUAGGGAUCGGACGAUGUUAAUUUUUCUUGACUCGUUCGGCGCCUUAC